Onychomys torridus (southern grasshopper mouse) is the source of this 912-nucleotide long non-coding RNA. RefSeq lists it as uncharacterized. NCBI's taxonomy places the organism in Eukaryota, Metazoa, Chordata, Mammalia, Rodentia, Cricetidae. The record is from RefSeq and is a predicted model, not a curated record. The transcript is spliced from 5 exons.
UUUCCAGCCAAGGAAUUCUUCCUUCUCAUGUUAUCGGCAAAAUUCAUUCUUCCUGUUUCCUUGGUUCCGCAAAUAAUCGGAGGGUUCAGACAGAAUCUGGAAGCUGUUGGCUUUCCUUAUUAACACGCCUUUGGUCUUUGGGAAGCCUGAUACCGUUUACUGGGUCCUUAACCACUGACUCCCUCAAUGAGGAAAAUCCAGUAGCCAAGAAGAGGGUCCUCAUCAGAAUCUCACCAUCCAGAAGCCAAGAAGAGGGUCCUCAUCAGAAUCUUACCACACUGCAAGCGGCUGUUGAUGCCAGCCUCUAAUUUUCAAUACAUAAGUAUUUGUUGAGCCCUACCUCAACCCCCAGCUGAGGAGUGGCAGACUCCGUCCAGUAAAGACUGUAACAUAGAUGGGUGGAGCUCUCCCUGCCUUCAUCAAAGAAGUCUCCCUUUGGAACAGAUGGAAGCGAUUACAGAAAUCACAACUGGUCCAGUUUCAUAGAGAUCCAUAUGGUCAUCACCUCUGUGGAUCUGGGCAUUGUUCCCACCUGUGAUUUUACCCAGCCCUUCAGGUCCAGUUCUGUUUACAGAGCUUCUCUCCAUCGGGGCUUACCCAAGAACAACUCAACUGCCUUUUUUCCCCCCCGAAACCAUCGUCGGCUCCAGGGAUCCCAGAGUAUCCAGUUGUCUCCGGCAGGAAUCCUAGCUGUAGCCGCUAGCUUUGGCGGUGUGCCAGCUCAGGACUUCAGAACUGCUCUGCCCCCAGCCCCAGUUCAGGAGCCACAGUGUGCUGUGGGUCAGCUUCCUGCUUGCUUCCUUUUCUGAUCCUUCCUGUUGCGGGCCAAAAGCACACGACAGAUUCGGCAUUAUUGCUCUGAAGAGCGGUCCUUAGCACCCCCCCCCCCCUUUAACUUACCUCCUUCCAACA